GGAACCGGGACGUGGCGGUUG
This 21-nucleotide non-coding RNA is filed under the name Arabidopsis thaliana (thale cress). The record is from RNAcentral. Lineage: Eukaryota; Viridiplantae; Streptophyta; Magnoliopsida; Brassicales; Brassicaceae.